CCUAGGGGAGGCAGCAGUGGGGAAUAUUGGACAAUGGGCGAAAGCCUGAUCCAGCCAUGCCGCGUGUGUGAAGAAGGCCUUCGGGUUGUAAAGCACUUUCAGUGGGGAAGAAAGCCUUGGGGCUAAUACCCUCGAGGAAGGACAUCACCCACAGAAGAAGCACCGGCUAACUCCGUGCCAGCAGCCGCGGUAAUACGGAGGGUGCGAGCGUUAAUCGGAAUUACUGGGCGUAAAGCGCGCGUAGGCGGUCUGAUAAGCCGGUUGUGAAAGCCCCGGGCUCAACCUGGGAACGGCAUCCGGAACUGUCAGGCUAGAGUGCAGGAGAGGAAGGUAGAAUUCCCGGUGUAGCGGUGAAAUGCGUAGAGAUCGGGAGGAAUACCAGUGGCGAAGGCGGCCUUCUGGACUGACACUGACGCUGAGGUGCGAAAGCGUGGGUAGCAAACAGGAUUAGAUACCCGGGUAGUC
RNAcentral lists this ribosomal RNA (465 nucleotides) under Vreelandella stevensii. RNAcentral describes it as "partial 16S ribosomal RNA". It matches the Rfam family "Bacterial small subunit ribosomal RNA", at positions 338 to 795 of the family's 1533-position model. The record is from RNAcentral. Lineage: Bacteria; Pseudomonadati; Pseudomonadota; Gammaproteobacteria; Oceanospirillales; Halomonadaceae.